This 72-nucleotide transfer RNA is filed under the name Diplorchis hangzhouensis. RNAcentral's name for it is "tRNA-Leu". Lineage: Eukaryota; Metazoa; Platyhelminthes; Monogenea; Polystomatidea; Polystomatidae. The record is from RNAcentral.
CUAGAAAUGCCAGAUUUAAUGGGUGGAUUUUAAGCGUCUAAUAUAUUAUUUAUUUUUAUAUAGUUUUCUAGG